AAUUUCAAUUUUUUAAAAUAAGGUAACUCAUUCAUUUUUCUAUUUUUCAGGAUUAAGAAAAGACUUAAUGCAGUGUAAAAAUUGCAAAUUCAGCAGUUCGAGUGAAGAAGUCCUUCUAAAGCACUAUCAGCUGCAUCACCCAAGCAUUUCCAGCUGGCCUUCCCACCUAUCUAAAAGUCCCACGUAUCUAAAUCACACCACAACAGUCACAGAGUCAGUCAAGAACUUUCAACAAUAAGUUGUGAACUGUGUGAAUUCCGAGAGAUUUGCAGUGGAAAAACGUUUCUUCGUUCACCUUGGAAAUCAUCUUAAACGCAUAGAAAUGAUUAAUUGUCCCUUUAAAGGAUGUGGAUUUAAAAGAAACAAUCAGCCAACGUUCAGCUCUCAUAGAAGCAGAAAGCAUACACUAAAAGACUUUUGAACUGCAAUACAGAAAGUCUUCGAGAGUACUGAUAAUGAAGUGCCAUCAAUCUCACAGAUCUCUUCAGAAAUCAAACUUGGAGAAGAUGAUAGAAUACAGUCUGAUGAAGAUGUAAAUAUUCAAACAUUUGAACACAAAAUUGCAACACAGGGAUCGCUGAGGAAUUCUUCAGAAUCACCAAUAAAGACCUUCUUGAUGUCUUUAGAGCAGCCAUAGACAGAUUUACACCGAAGCUCUUGAAAGUAUACAGAGCUAGAAAAGCUGCAUUUGAUGAAAGAUGUUAUUAAUCACAGAAAGACUACUGCUUUGAAGGGCCUGCCUUUGUUUCUUCGAGAGGACCCAAACAAGCUGUUCAAGACAUGCAAAAACACUGAAGAUGGGGCAAAAUGUGUCUAUUGCCAUUCUGUGUAUUUUGGAAGAUGACACCCAGGCGACAUCACCCGAGGUUGUAAACAUUGCUGUGUUGUUGGUGCAGGUCGUCGUUUUGAAACAUCUCCCAGAUAUUUCUACUGCUCUUGCAUACCUUUUUGGCAUUCUGCAUGCAUUAAACAUGUCCUAUCCUCCAAAUCUCAAGUACACUUUUGACACCAAUGUGAAUGAAUGUUUUCAUGGAGCUGGGAUCUGGAUGCACCAAACCUGUGCUUGCUCUCAAGAACAAACUGUUGUAAAGAAAAUCAGAACAGUGUUUUGCGAUACCUUUUCGGUGUUCAUUUGUUACAGGACCUAAAGUGCAGUUUUGAUACAAGGUCUGGGGAUUCUUUUAGUUGGCAUCUCUUUUUCGUAACCAGCAGAUGUCAAAACAUUCUUAAAGUGUUUUAUAAUUGUAAUUUUGAUGUAACGUCUUUUUUAUGAACUUCGCAGUUGCUCUCUGAUGUCGUUGGACAUGUCUACAAUUCCCUUAGCAACUGUGUCAUUGGACAGUGGUACUGUACCGAGUUUGUCUGCUGCACUAUCGCCUAUCAUUAUUCUGCAAAAUCAGAGUCUCGGCGAUUGUAUGCGGUUUACCCAGUUUACGGAUUCUUUUGGCCACUACAUACGAUGCCUCCAAACACUGUUUAGACACAGUGCUGUGCACUGAAAUGGUUGCCUGUUGCUGAUGGAAGCCAUCAAGCUUUCUUUUAAAAUAUUUGGCCGCUUUUAUUUUUUAAUGCAAUCAUGCUUUGUUUUGAGGUGCCUUUUUAAUUUGCAGGGCUUCAUGCUGUUGUUUGCCAGCACCUCGGCACAUACGACACACUGAGGUCUCAUAUAAACUGUGACUGUAACCCCAAAGUGCAGCUAUGCUUCAUAGUAACUUCAAAGCUUUUUUGCUGAUGGUGGUGCGUCGGUUGGCUCGUUGGUCCUCACAAGAAAUUUCUCCAUUUUUGUUGUAGUUUGUUUUCUAUAUUAAAGUUUAGGCAAUAUGUAAUGUGCG
This is a long non-coding RNA of Tachysurus fulvidraco (yellow catfish), 1832 nucleotides long. RefSeq lists it as uncharacterized. NCBI's taxonomy places the organism in Eukaryota, Metazoa, Chordata, Actinopteri, Siluriformes, Bagridae. The record is from RefSeq and is a predicted model, not a curated record. The transcript has 4 exons.